RNAcentral lists this ribosomal RNA (242 nucleotides) under uncultured bacterium. RNAcentral's name for it is "partial 16S ribosomal RNA". It matches the Rfam family "Bacterial small subunit ribosomal RNA", at positions 28 to 253 of the family's 1533-position model. The record is from RNAcentral.
AGUGAACGCUGGCGGCAGGCCUAACACAUGCAAGUCGAGCGGCAGCGGGUCCCCGCGAGGGGAGUGCCGGCGAGCGGCGGACGGGUGAGGAACACAUCGGAAUCUGCCUGGUUGUGGGGGAUAACGUAGGGAAACUUACGCUAAUACCGCAUGCGACCCUGAGUCGACGGACUUGGGGUGAAAGUGAGGGACCUUCGGGCCUCACGCGACCAGAUGAGCCGAUGUCGGAUUAGCUAGUUGGC